GGUUCCCUGGAGUGAUCAGUGCCAUAGAUUGCACCCAUAUUCCCAUCACAGCACGUCUAGAUGACUUGUGACCAUCGUUGCAUGGUCGCCAGCACUGAGGCAAAGUAGCCUGAGUCAGUCCUUGACUCCCAGAUCUUUAGGGAUUCUGCACUGUGCCACAGAUUUGAGCAAAGGGCUUUUCAGGGGAUUGCUGCUAGGAGACAGAGCCAACCCUUUUUGAAUACCGCCUAUCCUGACCCAAAUGCAGGGCCACAAAAUAAAUUCAACAACCAAAACAAGGGUCAGGAUAGAAAUUACUUGUGGAAUACUGAAAGCCCACUUCAGCUGCCUACGUGGGCUCAGAGGGGCCCCAGACCGGGCUUGCCAAAUAGUCACAGUAUGUGUUGUGCUUCACAAUAUAGCAUCCAUACAUACAUCCAUCCUGUCAGCCAACAACCCCCUGAUCUUGUGGACCCCAUCGCCCUACACCACCCUACUGGCAGGGCAGUGGUGGAGGCUAUCACACAGCAAUUUUUUACCUAAUUAAGAAAAACUAAGAAAAUGCCUCUUUUUUUUCCUCAUUUAUAAGUCUUUAUUUUUCCAAUUAUUUUUGUUCUCCCAUUCCUAGGAACGAAGACAAAUACAAUUUAGUUUAAUUGUAACCCAUGGCUGGAAAUAAAUUACAUUA
Thunnus maccoyii (southern bluefin tuna) is the source of this 667-nucleotide long non-coding RNA. RefSeq lists it as uncharacterized. The record is from RefSeq and is a predicted model, not a curated record. The transcript is spliced from 3 exons. NCBI's taxonomy places the organism in Eukaryota, Metazoa, Chordata, Actinopteri, Scombriformes, Scombridae.